RNAcentral lists this ribosomal RNA (253 nucleotides) under uncultured bacterium. RNAcentral's name for it is "partial 16S ribosomal RNA". It matches the Rfam family "Bacterial small subunit ribosomal RNA", at positions 524 to 776 of the family's 1533-position model. The record is from RNAcentral.
GACGAAGGGGGCUAGCGUUGUUCGGAAUUACUGGGCGUAAAGCGAGUGUAGGUGGUUGUCGUAGUCAGGCGUGAAAGCCUUGAGCUCAACUCAAGAAAUGCGCUUGAUACUGGGCAGCUAGAGGACCGGAGAGGAUAGUGGAAUUCCCAGUGUAGUGGUGAAAUACGUAGAGGUUGGGAAGAACACCAGUGGCGAAGGCGGCUAUCUGGACGGUUUCUGACACUAAGACUCGAAAGCGUGGGGAGCAAACAGG